Molecule: unclassified non-coding RNA, 349 nt
Filed under: soil metagenome
Description: partial contains 5.8S ribosomal RNA, internal transcribed spacer 2, and large subunit ribosomal RNA
Rfam family: 5.8S ribosomal RNA (bases 1-119)
Source: RNAcentral
GAUGAAGAACGUAGCGAAAUGCGAUAAGUAAUGCGAAUUGCAGAAUCCGUGAGUCAUCGAAUCUUUGAACGCACAUUGCGCCCUCUGGUAUUCCGGAGGGCAUGCCUGUUCGAGCGUCAUUAUCACCCCUCAAGCCCGGCUUGUUGUUGGAUGCAGCGCUUAUCCCGCUCCUCCCAAAGAUAAUGACGGCGUCUGCGACGACUCCUGUACACUGAGCUUUCGGGCACGUACACGGUUAGAAGUCCAGACCCGGUCGCCGUCCCCCCCGCGGGGACACCCAUUACCACAAGGUUGACCUCGGAUCAGGUAGGAAUACCCGCUGAACUUAAGCAUAUCAAUAAGCGGAGGA